GUUCCCCCACACCACCAAAUGUUCCACUUACCCCUUUCCCUGUGGGGAGCCCCUUGUCAGUCUGAGCCAGUUGCCUUCUAGCUCUCAUGAAGCACUCCUUCUGUCCCUUCCCGUGCAUACUCUCCGGAUUGAGUUCACUAUUUUCUGCAGGCGUUCAGCUGCCGCUAACAGGGAAGCUGCUGGGGAAGCCUCAGUUCUGAGCCCCUGAGAGGCCUGGCUGCAGGCAGGGUUUGUUCUAGUGGCUCAGGUCCUGUGAUUUUCUCAACAGAGUUGCCCUUAGUUUUGGGUUCAUCCUUAGGACAAUUUCUCUCAUUAGUGGUGAGAUGUCCAGGUAGCAGCUGGAGACUUCAGUUUCAUUCUACCCGUCUGGGGAAAAGUGAGAUGUCUCUUCUGGGCAGUGCCUUGCAGUAGGGAAACUUCUUUUCUAGAAAUUGCCUACCAGACCUCUUUGUGUCUCAUUGGUCAGGUCAUCUCACACAUCCAUACCUGAACCAAUUCCUGUGGCUGGUGGGUGUGCUGUGAUUUGAUUGACAGACUUGCCUGAGUCUCUGAACCAGUACUCUGUAUGGGUAAAGGAAUCCAGGCUUAUGGGUGGAUGUGCAGUGAGUUCAGGUUCUAUGAUAAAGCAGCAGCCAAUAGUGUGGCUAAAUUCUGAUGCCUCCCCCCCCCCCCCCCCCCCCCCCGCCCAUGAGGGAUUGAACCCAGAGGUGCUCAACCACUGAGCCACAUCCCCAGCCCUUUUUAUUUUUUUGAGACAGGGUCUCACUAAGUUGCUUCAAGCUUUGCUGUAUUGCUGAGGCUCGCCUUGAACUCGAGAUUCUCCUGCCUCAGCCUCCCAUCCACUGGGAUUACCAUCAUGCCUGGCUAGAAAAAUAUACCUUAAAAUAAAAAAAACCACGACGAUUCUUAUAAUCAGUUCUUCUAUUUAGCUUUUUCCUGGACAGCCUAGUCAUUAAAGUGGACAAAGGUAAAUGCCAUAAUCUUGCAUAGGUAUAUUCAAUAGUGUAGAGAUGUCAGUUUUUCCUAAAUUGAUCUAGAAAUGCAUUAGAGUUCCAAUCAAGCAGAUUUUCAUGACUUUGACAAGCUAAUUCUAAAAUUUGAAUGGAUAAGCAAAGGACUACAAAUCGUCAAGAAGAUCUUUUAGGAAGAAGAACAAGUUCUAGAACCUUCUACUACUCGGUAUCAACACAUAUGGUAGAGUUACAUUAAUUAUUGUGUUAGCUUUUCAGCCCCGUGACUAAAAUAUCUGACAGGAACAACUUAGAGGAAGGAAACUUUCUUUUGGGCUCACUGUUUCAGAGGUUCAGUUCAUGGUCCACUGACUUCAUUGUUCUGAUCCUGAGUGAAGCAGAACAUCAUGGUGAGCG
This 1367-nucleotide long non-coding RNA is filed under the name Marmota monax (woodchuck). Lineage: Eukaryota; Metazoa; Chordata; Mammalia; Rodentia; Sciuridae. The record is from RNAcentral.